UUACGACCAUAUCACGUUGAAACAUCGGUUCUCGUAUGAUCACCAAAGUUAAGCAAUGUCGGCCUGGUCAGUAUCUAGAUGGGUGACCGCUUGAGUAUACUAGGUGCUAUA
This 111-nucleotide ribosomal RNA is filed under the name Acanthosepion pharaonis. Lineage: Eukaryota; Metazoa; Mollusca; Cephalopoda; Sepiida; Sepiidae. The record is from RNAcentral.